This is a non-coding RNA of Cynoglossus semilaevis (tongue sole), 73 nucleotides long. The record is from the annotation of a RefSeq genome assembly. NCBI's taxonomy places the organism in Eukaryota, Metazoa, Chordata, Actinopteri, Pleuronectiformes, Cynoglossidae.
GGUUCCUUGGUGUAGUGGUUAGCACGCCUGCCUCACAAGCAGAGAAGCCUGGGUUCGAUUCCCAGGGGAACCA